AAAAUAUUACGUAUUAUGUAAUUUACAAAAUUGUGCUUCCUUUUUUAACUUUUAAAUUUUAUUCCAUUUUAUUGUAAGGCAAUAUUACAAUCCAGUUUCUAAGUUUAAACUUGCGCGCACGUUUAUUCUGAACGCACCGCAGUGACUGUAAAAAAAAAAGUUCCAUUCGCUGGUUGGCUACGUGUACAGUACAUACAUACAUUGAUUGUGCUUAGGGUUUUGCUCAUGCAAUCCUAUUAUAAUUCGUUAAGUUAACUAUAUUGCAGAGUAGAAGGUUGAACGAGUCCGUACCAAUUAAGAAAAAGAAGAAAGUGAUUGGAGGGAUAAUUAAAUUAUUUGGAGGUUCAUUUGACGCGUUUUUGCACGAAAUGAACGAAUCUGGCAGAAAAAAGUGUCGGACUGACCCGCGAAUCGAGAUAUCAAGCUUUAAAGUUGACGACUAUUUAGGUUAGGAUAUCUAAUCUAACGUUUGACUACGAAGAUAUUCGAUUCGCCAGUCAGAUAUUCGGAAGAAACGUAUACUUGUAAGUCGCGCUAAUGGCGAUGAAGUUUGUUAUAUCACGUUAAUAAUAAUAA
Long non-coding RNA from Solenopsis invicta (red fire ant), 576 nucleotides. RefSeq lists it as uncharacterized. The transcript has 2 exons. The record is from RefSeq and is a predicted model, not a curated record. NCBI's taxonomy places the organism in Eukaryota, Metazoa, Arthropoda, Insecta, Hymenoptera, Formicidae.